GCAUUCUUUUUUUGAUGAGAGGCAUCUCUAGGUACCAUCCCUGACCUGGUCCUCAUGCUGCCGAGGCUGUUGCUGUUGAUCUGUGCUCCACUCUGUGAACCUGCCGGUGAGUUGCACUUCCUUUUCUUCUUCAAGGUCUGUGGGUAUUUUGUUACUUAGGUCAGCACAGGAGGCCUGCAGAUUGCUGUCUUAGCAGCCCCUUCCUGCCCAAAACAUAUCAGGGUGACAGCUGCUGAGGUGUACAAACAUCAGUGGCUCCCUUGGGCCUGGGCUGCUCUGUCUUCACAUCAGUCUCUGCACCUGACACGUGUCUGCUCAGUGGGGUGAACAGGUCUUGCUCUGACCUUCUCAAGAACACAGUCUUACUUCCGGGAAGUCCCAGCACAGGGAGGGAGACACUGUUUGCACAAGGAAGGCAAAGGGUGCUGAAGAUUCAUGCUAGAAGCAUCUCUGUCCUCCCAGCCUCAGGAGCUCCAAUUCCCAGUUGUGCUUCUCAGCUGGGUGUGUCACCAUGGGUGAUGAAGGAAAUGCCAAAAUCACACAUCCACGGAGAACAUUAG
RNAcentral lists this long non-coding RNA (560 nucleotides) under Homo sapiens (human). Its description in RNAcentral is "non-protein coding lnc-FCRL1-1:1". Lineage: Eukaryota; Metazoa; Chordata; Mammalia; Primates; Hominidae. The record is from RNAcentral.